Xylariaceae sp. FL0804 is the source of this 91-nucleotide non-coding RNA. The record is from the annotation of a GenBank genome assembly. NCBI's taxonomy places the organism in Eukaryota, Fungi, Ascomycota, Sordariomycetes, Xylariales, Xylariaceae.
GGGCAUGUGGUCUAGGGGUAUGAUUUUCCCUUCGCACUGAAUUUCAAAGCGCGUCUGGGAAAGGUCCAGGGUUCAAUUCCCUGCAUGUCCA